CCUACGGGAGGCAGCAGUGAGGAAUAUUGGUCAAUGGGCGUAAGCCUGAACCAGCCAAGUAGCGUGCAGGAUGACGGCCCUAUGGGUUGUAAACUGCUUUUAUACGGGAAUAACGCGCGUCACGUGUGGGGCUUUGUAGGUACCGCAUGAAUAAGGACCGGCUAAUUCCGUGCCAGCAGCCGCGGUAAUACGGAAGGUCCGGGCGUUAUCCGGAUUUAUUGGGUUUAAAGGGAGCGUAGGCCGCAUGUCAAGCGUGCCGUGAAAGGGCCGGGCUCAACCCGGGCCCUGCCGCGCGAACUGGCGUGCUUGAGUCCGCGGAAAGCAGGCGGAAUUCGUCGUGUAGCGGUGAAAUGCUUAGAUAUGACGAAGAACACCGAUUGCGAAGGCAGCAUGCUGCAGCGGAACUGACGCUGAUGCUCGAAAGCGCGGGGAUCGAACAGGAUUAGAUACCCGAGUAGUC
Molecule: ribosomal RNA, 460 nt
Filed under: uncultured bacterium
Lineage: Bacteria
Description: partial 16S ribosomal RNA
Rfam family: Bacterial small subunit ribosomal RNA
Source: RNAcentral